ACGGGAGGCAGCAGUGGGGAAUAUUGCGCAAUGGGCGAAAGCCUGACGCAGCGACGCCGCGUGAGGGAUGAAGGCCUUCGGGUUGUAAACCUCUUUCAGCAGGGAAGAAGCGAAAGUGACGGUACCUGCAGAAGAAGCACCGGCUAACUACGUGCCAGCAGCCGCGGUAAUACGUAGGGUGCAAGCGUUGUCCGGAAUUAUUGGGCGUAAAGAGCUCGUAGGCGGUCUGUCGCGUCUGCUGUGAAAACUCGGGGCUUAACCCCGGGCCUGCAGUGGGUACGGGCAGACUAGAGUGCGGUAGGGGAGACUGGAAUUCCUGGUGUAGCGGUGAAAUGCGCAGAUAUCAGGAGGAACACCGGUGGCGAAGGCGGGUCUCUGGGCCGUAACUGACGCUGAGGAGCGAAAGCAUGGGGAGCGAACAGGAUUAGAUACCCUGGUA
Molecule: ribosomal RNA, 439 nt
Filed under: uncultured Actinomycetales bacterium
Lineage: Bacteria; Bacillati; Actinomycetota; Actinomycetes; Actinomycetales
Description: bacterial SSU rRNA
Rfam family: Bacterial small subunit ribosomal RNA
Source: RNAcentral